RNAcentral lists this transfer RNA (75 nucleotides) under Paramuricea clavata. RNAcentral describes it as "tRNA-Thr". The stretch from base 4 to 69 matches the Rfam family "tRNA". Rfam says of the family: Transfer RNA (tRNA) molecules are approximately 80 nucleotides in length. Their secondary structure includes four short double-helical elements and three loops (D, anti-codon, and T loops). The record is from RNAcentral. Lineage: Eukaryota; Metazoa; Cnidaria; Anthozoa; Malacalcyonacea; Plexauridae.
GACCGCGUAGCUCAGUUGGCAGAGCAUUGGGCUAGUAUUCCAAAGGUCGUAGGUUCGAUUCCCACCGCGUGGCCA